AUAUUGCACAAUGGGGGAAACCCUGAUGCAGCGACGCCGCGUGAGUGAUGAAGUAUUUCGGUAUGUAAAGCUCUAUCAGCAGGGAAGAAAAUGACGGUACCUGACUAAGAAGCCCCGGCUAACUACGUUCCAGCAGCCGCGGUAAUACGUAGGGGGCAAGCGUUAUCCGGAUUUACUGGGUGUAAAGGGAGCGUAGACGGCUGUGCAAGUCUGGAGUGAAAACCCGGGGCUCAACCCCGGGAUUGCUUUGGAAACUGUGUAGCUGGAGUACCGGAGAGGCAAGUGGAAUUCCUAGUGUAGCGGUGAAAUGCGUAGAUAUUAGGAGGAACACCAGUGGCGAAGGCGGCUUGCUGGACGGUAACUGACGUUGAGGCUCGAAAGCGUGGGGAGCAAACA
Molecule: ribosomal RNA, 396 nt
Filed under: uncultured bacterium
Lineage: Bacteria
Description: bacterial SSU rRNA
Rfam family: Bacterial small subunit ribosomal RNA
Source: RNAcentral